CGAAUUUAGUGCUCAGUUGGUUUAGAGCAUCCCGAUUCCAUCGGGAGGGUCGGGAGUUCGAGUCUCUCACCGCCCA
This 76-nucleotide transfer RNA is filed under the name Flavilitoribacter nigricans DSM 23189 = NBRC 102662. RNAcentral describes it as "Lewinella nigricans DSM 23189 = NBRC 102662 tRNA-Gly". The stretch from base 11 to 68 matches the Rfam family "tRNA", at positions 10 to 63 of the family's 71-position model. Rfam says of the family: Transfer RNA (tRNA) molecules are approximately 80 nucleotides in length. Their secondary structure includes four short double-helical elements and three loops (D, anti-codon, and T loops). Further hydrogen bonds mediate the characteristic L-shaped molecular structure. tRNAs have two regions of fundamental functional importance: the anti-codon, which is responsible for specific mRNA codon recognition, and the 3' end, to which the tRNAs corresponding amino acid is attached (by aminoacyl-tRNA synthetases). tRNAs cope with the degeneracy of the genetic code in two manners: having more than one tRNA (with a specific anti-codon) for a particular amino acid; and 'wobble' base-pairing, i.e. permitting non-standard base-pairing at the 3rd anti-codon position. Lineage: Bacteria; Pseudomonadati; Bacteroidota; Saprospiria; Saprospirales; Lewinellaceae. The record is from RNAcentral.